ACUCCUACGGGAGGCAGCAGUGAGGAAUAUUGGACAAUGGGCGGGAGCCUGAUCCAGCCAUGCCGCGUGCAGGAAGACGGCCCUAUGGGUUGUAAACUGCUUUUAUACGGGAAGAAACACUCCCUCGUGAGGGAGCUUGACGGUACCGUAAGAAUAAGGAUCGGCUAACUCCGUGCCAGCAGCCGCGGUAAUACGGAGGAUCCAAGCGUUAUCCGGAAUCAUUGGGUUUAAAGGGUCCGUAGGCGGGACAAUAAGUCAGCGGUGAAAGUCUGUGGCUCAACCAUAGAAUUGCCAUUGAUACUGUUGUUCUUGAGUGUUUAUGAAGUGGUUGGAAUAUGUAGUGUAGCGGUGAAAUGCAUAGAUAUUACAUAGAACACCGAUUGCGAAGGCAGAUCACUAAUAAAAUACUGACGCUGAUGGACGAAAGCGUAGGUAGCGAACAGGAUUAGAUACCCUGGUAGUCUACGCCGUAAACGAUGGUUACUAGCUGUUCGGUCGUAAGACUGAGUGGCUAAGCGAAAGUGAUAAGUAACCCACCUGGGGAGUACGUUCGCAAGAAUGAAACUCAAAGGAAUUGACGGGGGCCCGCACAAGCGGUGGAGCAUGUGGUUUAAUUCGAUGAUACGCGAGGAACCUUACCAGGGCUUAAAUGUAGUUUGACC
This 662-nucleotide ribosomal RNA is filed under the name uncultured bacterium. RNAcentral's name for it is "bacterial SSU rRNA". It matches the Rfam family "Bacterial small subunit ribosomal RNA", at positions 335 to 997 of the family's 1533-position model. The record is from RNAcentral.